RNAcentral lists this long non-coding RNA (227 nucleotides) under Manihot esculenta (cassava). RNAcentral describes it as "long non-coding RNA (MESC_LNC009822)". The record is from RNAcentral. Lineage: Eukaryota; Viridiplantae; Streptophyta; Magnoliopsida; Malpighiales; Euphorbiaceae.
AUAAAACACCUCCACCCAACACCCGAACGGCAAACAAACCUCAAAUCUGACAAGGAGUCGGUGUGGUGACUCCAGCGAUGGUGAGAUCCAAAUGUUACCCUUUAUGGAUAACCCAAAUGAACGGAGCCCUAAGUCUCCAAAAAAAAUUUUAAAACUUUACGAGAGAAAAAAGAAAAAAAAUCUCUAUGAGAAAGGCUCUGAUACCAUGUAGAAGGAUAAUAUUUAUU